RNAcentral lists this ribosomal RNA (253 nucleotides) under uncultured bacterium. RNAcentral's name for it is "partial 16S ribosomal RNA". It matches the Rfam family "Bacterial small subunit ribosomal RNA", at positions 524 to 776 of the family's 1533-position model. The record is from RNAcentral.
UACGAAGGGUGCAAGCGUUACUCGGAAUUACUGGGCGUAAAGCGUGCGUAGGUGGUUCGUUAAGUCUGAUGUGAAAGCCCCGGGCUCAACCUGGGAAUUGCAUUUGAGACUGCGUAGCUAGGGUGCGGAAGAGGGAAGCGGAAUUUCCGGUGUAGCGGUGAAAUGCGUAGAUAUCGGAAGGAACACCAGUGGCGAAAGCGGCUUCCUGGUCCAGCACCGACGUUCAGGCACGAAAGCGUGGGGAGCAAACAGG